RNAcentral lists this ribosomal RNA (492 nucleotides) under uncultured bacterium. RNAcentral describes it as "partial 16S ribosomal RNA". It matches the Rfam family "Bacterial small subunit ribosomal RNA", at positions 29 to 507 of the family's 1533-position model. The record is from RNAcentral.
AGUGAACGCUGGCGGUAGGCCUAACACAUGCAAGUCGAACGGCAGCACAGUAAGAGCUUGCUCUUACGGGUGGCGAGUGGCGGACGGGUGAGGAAUACAUCGGAAUCUACUUUUUCGUGGGGGAUAACGUAGGGAAACUUACGCUAAUACCGCAUACGACCUACGGGUGAAAGCAGGGGAUCUUCGGACCUUGCGCGAUUGAAUGAGCUGAUGUCGGAUUAGCUAGUUGGCGGGGUAAAGGCCCACCAAGGCGACGAUCCGUAGCUGGUCUGAGAGGAUGAUCAGCCACACUGGAACUGAGACACGGUCCAGACUCCUACGGGAGGCAGCAGUGGGGAAUAUUGGACAAAGGGCGCAAGCCUGAUCCAGGCAUACCGCGUGGGUGAAGAAGGUCUUCGGGUUGUAAAGCCCUUUUGUUGGGAAAGAAAAGCAGCAGGUUAAUACCCCGCUGUUCUGACGGUACCCAAAGAAUAAGCACCGGCUAACUUCGUG